This is a long non-coding RNA of Gossypium arboreum, 558 nucleotides long. RefSeq lists it as uncharacterized. Lineage: Eukaryota; Viridiplantae; Streptophyta; Magnoliopsida; Malvales; Malvaceae. The record is from RefSeq and is a predicted model, not a curated record. The transcript has 2 exons.
UAAAUUUGGUGCCAAAUUUGGUUGAUUUGAAGCGUCUUGUUGACUGAAUUUGGAUUAUUAGGUACCACAAACUGGUUUGAAGGGUAGGGACCAUUUUCUAGCUUAUUAUUUAUGAUAUUUAAGGAUUGCCUAUAUAUGUAUCUCUAAAAGCCUAUGAAAAGAUUAUUAUCUUCUUUAAUUUAUUAGAUCAUCAUUUUCAAACUUCAGACUAGAUAGGGGCCUUUCUACUUAACAUCAUCAAUGGCAGAAGUAAUCAAGAGGCUUGGAAAAUGGAGGGAGAUCGGUUUUUGUAGUUGGCGGACUGUGCUCUGUGACCAUCUAGCUGGAUUCUGUGGUGUGUAACUAGAAACUGCAAAAUGGGGGUGAGUUAAGAGGCGUCGUAGCUUGUGUCGGGACGCUCUCUUAAUUCGGUAUUUAGUAAAGAAAAAGCAAGGUUGAAAGCAAUAAUAGAGUAAAAAUAUACGUGGAAGAGGUCAUAUUUGAAAAGAUGUUAAAGCUUCGCAUUUAUAAUCGAUUUAUGGGCUACUCAAAUCUGAAUACUACUCUUUGAUUGGUUAA